CAAGUCGAACGCGAAAGUGGAGCAAUCCAUGAGUAGAGUGGCAAACGGGUGAGUAACGCGUGGGCGACCUACCUCUGAGUGGGGGAUAACCUUCCGAAAGGAGGGCUAAUACCGCAUGACAUCCCAGUUUUAGAUAGCUGGACAUCAAAGCCGGGGAUCGCAAGACCUGGCGCUUGGAGAGGGGCCCGCGUCCGAUUAGCUAGUUGGUGAGGUAACGGCUCACCAAGGCUCCGAUCGGUAUCCGGCCUGAGAGGGCGGACGGACACACUGGGACUGAGACACGGCCCAGACUCCUACGGGAGGCAGCAGUGGGGAAUUGUUCGCAAUGGGCGCAAGCCUGACGACGCAACGCCGCGUGGAGGAUGAAGACCUUCGGGUCGUAAACUCCUUUCGACCGAGAUGAAUUCCCGCCGGCCUAACAUGCCGGCGGGUUGACAGUAUCGAGGGAAGCAGCCCCGGCUAACUCCGUGCCAGCAGCCGCGGUAAUACGGGGGGGGCAAGCGUUGUUCGGAAUUACUGGGCGUAAAGGGUUCGUAGGUGGCUCGCUAAGUCAGACGUGAAAUCCCUCAGCUUAACUGGGGAACUGCGUCUGAGACUGGCGAGCUUGAGUGCAGGAGAGGAACGCGGAAUUCCAGGUGUAGCGGUGAAAUGCGUAGAUAUCUGGAGGAACACCGGUGGCGAAGGCGGCGUUCUGGACUGCAACUGACACUGAUGAACGAAAGCCAGGGGAGCAAACGGGAUUAGAUACCCCGGUAGUCCUGGCCCUAAACGAUGAAUGCUUGGUGUGGCGGGUAUCGAUCCCUGCCGUGCCGUAGUUAACGCGUUAAGCAUUCCGCCUGGGGAGUACGGUCGCAAGGCUGAGACUCAAAGGAAU
RNAcentral lists this ribosomal RNA (874 nucleotides) under uncultured Bacillota bacterium. Its description in RNAcentral is "bacterial SSU rRNA". It matches the Rfam family "Bacterial small subunit ribosomal RNA", at positions 58 to 910 of the family's 1533-position model. The record is from RNAcentral. Lineage: Bacteria; Bacillati; Bacillota.